This 496-nucleotide ribosomal RNA is filed under the name uncultured bacterium. RNAcentral describes it as "partial 16S ribosomal RNA". It matches the Rfam family "Bacterial small subunit ribosomal RNA", at positions 28 to 507 of the family's 1533-position model. The record is from RNAcentral.
GAUGAACGCUGGCGGCGUGCCUAAUACAUGCAAGUCGAGCGAACAGAUGAGGAGCUUGCUCCUCUGACGUUAGCGGCGGACGGGUGAGUAACACGUGGAUAACCUACCUAUAAGACUGGGAUAACUUCGGGAAACCGGAGCUAAUACCGGAUAAUAUAUUGAACCGCAUGGUUCAAUAGUGAAAGACGGUUUUGCUGUCACUUAUAGAUGGAUCCGCGCCGCAUUAGCUAGUUGGUAAGGUAACGGCUUACCAAGGCAACGAUGCUUAGCCGACCUGAGAGGUGAUCGGCCACACUGGAACUGAGACACGGUCCAGACUCCUACGGGAGGCAGCAGUAGGGAAUCUUCCGCAAUGGGCGAAAGCCUGACGGAGCAACGCCGCGUGAGUGAUGAAGGUCUUCGGAUCGUAAAACUCUGUUAUUAGGGAAGAACAAAUGUGUAAGUAACUAUGCACGUCUUGACGGUACCUAAUCAGAAAGCCACGGCUAACUACGUG